This 253-nucleotide ribosomal RNA is filed under the name uncultured bacterium. RNAcentral describes it as "partial 16S ribosomal RNA". It matches the Rfam family "Bacterial small subunit ribosomal RNA", at positions 524 to 776 of the family's 1533-position model. The record is from RNAcentral.
UACGGAGGAUGCAAGCGUUAUCCGGAAUGAUUGGGCGUAAAGCGUCCGCAGGUGGCUAUGUAAGUCUGCUGUUAAAGAGUGAGGCUCAACCUCAUAAGAGCAGUGGAAACUACAUGGCUAGAGUGCGUUCGGGGCAGAGGGAAUUCCUGGUGUAGCGGUGAAAUGCGUAGAUAUCAGGAAGAACACCGGUGGCGAAAGCGCUCUGCUAGGCCGCAACUGACGCUGAGGAGCGAAAGCGUGGGGAGCAAACAGG